RNAcentral lists this microRNA precursor (98 nucleotides) under Felis catus (domestic cat). Its description in RNAcentral is "mir-544 microRNA precursor family". It matches the Rfam family "mir-544 microRNA precursor family". RNAcentral also lists the same sequence under 3 other names. Lineage: Eukaryota; Metazoa; Chordata; Mammalia; Carnivora; Felidae. The record is from Rfam by way of RNAcentral.
AUCACCUGGGCAUCUUGUUAAAAUGCACAUUCUCAUGCAGCAGGUCUAGGGCAUGGCCUGAGAUUCUGCAUUUCUAACAGGUGUCCAAAUGAUGCCCA